GACGAACGCUGGCGGCGUGCUUAACACAUGCAAGUCGAACGAAGUGGCGAACGGGUGAAUAACGCGUAAUCCACCUGCCUUUCAGAGGGGGACAACAGUUGGAAACGACUGCUAAUAGCGCAUAUUCACGGUGGGGUUUGCGUUUGAUUAGCUAGUUGGAGGGGUAACGGCCCACCAAGGCGAUGAUCAGUAGCCGGGCUGAGGUGAUGAACGGCACCAUUGUGACUGCGACACGGCCCAGACUCCUACGGGAGGCAGCAGUGGGGAAUCUUCCGCAAUGGACGAAAGUCUGACGGAGCAACGCCGCGUGAGUGAUGACGGCCUUCGGGUUGUAAAGCUCUGUUAAUCGGGACGCGGUACCGGAAUAGAAAGCCACGGCUAACUACGUGCCAGCAGCCGCGGUAAUAC
Molecule: ribosomal RNA, 408 nt
Filed under: uncultured bacterium
Lineage: Bacteria
Description: partial 16S ribosomal RNA
Rfam family: Bacterial small subunit ribosomal RNA
Source: RNAcentral